RNAcentral lists this ribosomal RNA (236 nucleotides) under uncultured bacterium. Its description in RNAcentral is "partial 16S ribosomal RNA". It matches the Rfam family "Bacterial small subunit ribosomal RNA", at positions 15 to 233 of the family's 1533-position model. The record is from RNAcentral.
GAUCAUGGCUCAGGACGAACGCUGGCGGCGUGCUUAACACAUGCAAGUCGAACGAGAAUCUACUGAAAGAGUUUUUCGGACAAUGGAUGUAGAGGAAAGUGGCGGACGGGUGAGUAACGCGUGAGGAACCUGCCUUGAAGAGGGGGACAACAGUUGGAAACGACUGCUAAUACCGCAUGACGCAUAGAGGUCGCAUGAUCUUUAUGCCAAAGAUUUAUCGCUUCAAGAUGGCCUCG